This 460-nucleotide ribosomal RNA is filed under the name uncultured bacterium. Its description in RNAcentral is "partial 16S ribosomal RNA". It matches the Rfam family "Bacterial small subunit ribosomal RNA", at positions 338 to 795 of the family's 1533-position model. The record is from RNAcentral.
CCUACGGGAGGCAGCAGUGAGGAAUAUUGGUCAAUGGGCGCGAGCCUGAACCAGCCAAGUCGCGUGAGGGAGGACGGCCCUACGGGUUGUAAACCUCUUUUGCCGGGGAGCAACGGGCGGCACGUGUGGCGCCACUGAGAGUAACCGGAGAAAAAGCAUCGGCUAAAUCCGUGCCAGCAGCCGCGGUAAUACGGAGGAUGCGAGCUUUCUCCGGAUUGAUUGGGUUUAAAGGGUUGGUAGGCGGAUCGUGAAGUCAGUGGUCAAAUUGAGGGGCUCAACCCCUUCCCGCCAUUGAAACUGGCGCUCUUGAGUGGAAGAGAAGUAUGCGGAAUGCGGGGUGUAGCGGUGAAAUGCAUAGAUAUCACGCAGAACCCCGAUUGCGAAGGCAGCAUGCCGGCUUCCGACUGACGCUGAAGCACGAAAGCGUGGGGAUCGAACAGGAUUAGAUACCCGGGUAGUC